Molecule: long non-coding RNA, 1628 nt
Organism: Bos indicus x Bos taurus (hybrid cattle)
Lineage: Eukaryota; Metazoa; Chordata; Mammalia; Artiodactyla; Bovidae
Source: Ensembl
CAGCUUCUGGGCUGGUGAUAGCCAGUUGUUCAAUUUUCAGGAAUUUGGUGAAUUGACUGAGAUCUUCCUGAUAGUUUCCAGUUGGCUACAGUGGGAAUUUUUACAUCGAGAAAACUGACCAUACUCCACCCAGGUGUGAAACACUCACCAGUGCAUCACUCCGCAGGGCGCCCCAGAAGGUGUGUUCUCUUUGUCCCAUGCUGACAUGCCCAGACUGUACUGUGACUUACACGUUUCCUAUCAGUGACUUCCAGGCAACCUCUCUCCAGCUUUGGCAUGACCUAAGGGUCUCUUUUCUCUCCGCUCUGACAGGUGUGCAGCAGGCGGCCACAGUGCACCCUGCAGGGUAGGAACUCUGUGUCCCGCCAGCCAGGAGAGAGCUGGUCAACCUUCAGAUGACGGCUGCAAUUCCUCUUGGUGCUGCUUGUCAGACACACGUGCUGAGCUGCUCUGACCUCCAGCUCCUCUUGUUCUCUCCUCCAUCCAGGCCCUGAAGCUGAUCACCACCAUCUGCUACUUCCUCCUCCUCGUUCUCAGGGUGGACCCUCUGCUGGGUCAGCAUAUGCUGCCAAGGAGUCCACUGGGCCAUGUCAGGAACCAGGACUGGAUGCAUCUGGGUAGGAGGAUAAGGAGUGGGACACAACUUAGUGACUGAACAAUAACAGGAGGGUAAAUCUGGUUCCUCUUCCUCCAUCUCCGGCGAAGCAGAAAUUCCACAUUGUUGUUUUAAUGUGGAUUCUGUAGGCUUCAUGUUGGACUCAAAGUGUAAUCCUUUCAAGAGAGUCUCUGUUGUGGACUGGAGGAAUGAAAACAUCAAGGCUAUCGAGGGCCCUCCCCCCACUCAGCCCUGGGAAGCCACAAGUCAGAGCUUGUGGAGUGGCGAGGAGGGAGCAGAAGAACAGAACACAGGCUCUGCUUCAAGAUCUCCUGGAAAAGGCAAUGGCACCCCACUCCAGUACUCUUGUCUGGAAAAUCCCAUGGAUGGAGGAGCCUGGGGCUUCAGUCCAUGGAGUCGCAAAGAGUCAAGACAUGAUUGAGCGACUUUACUUUCUUUCUUUCUGCUUCUUCCCUCAGGCCUCCAUGACUGUGAUGGGCCUGACCAUGAAAUCGUAAAUUAAAGCAGAUUUUUGCAGUUUUAAUAUUACAACCCUGGACUUAUAUUUAUUUAUUGGAGUCUGGGCUUCUCCAGUGACUCAGCAGUUAAGAAUGCACCUGCAGUGCCGGAGAUGCAGGACACGGGGGUUCGAUCCCUGGGUCAGGAAGAUCCUCCGGAGGAGGAAAUGGCAACCCACUCCAGUAUUCUUGCCUGGGGAAUUCCAUGGACAGAGGAGCCUGGUGGGCUACAGUCCAUGGGGUCUCAAAGAGUCGGACAUGACUGAACAACUAAGCACCAACAAUGAUAAUUUCUUUACAAUGUUUUGUUAGUUUCUGCUGUACAUCAACGUGAAUCAGUCAUAUGUAUACACAUAUCCCCUUGAGCCUCCCUCCUGCCCACCCCUUCCCCAUCCCACCCCUUUAGGUCAUCAUAGAGGACUGAGCUGAGCUCCCUAGCACUGGGAGCUUUCUAAUGUGAUUUUUAUCUGAGAGUUAACAAAAAACAUUAUGAGACUGUUGGAUAUUCAUUUAGG